RNAcentral lists this long non-coding RNA (1791 nucleotides) under Marmota monax (woodchuck). Lineage: Eukaryota; Metazoa; Chordata; Mammalia; Rodentia; Sciuridae. The record is from RNAcentral.
AAGAGCUAGCCCAUGACUCUCUCAAUUCAGAGCUGUUCAAGGUUCAUAGUGAGUCCUGAUCAUACAAUACUUAGAUAAGAGGCCAUUGGUAACCUCUUUCUAUUAUGAGCUAGAUAGUGAGCAAGCUUUCAUCAUCUGAAUGAGCAUAUGUCUCUGCCAUAAAAACCGUGGCAUUAGGCAAAAAAGAAAAUGAAUACUGUAUCUGUCCCCCCACCCCCCACAUCACCACAGAUUCUGUACAUAAAAGCAAGGUCUUUUUAGUUGUCACAUCUCCUCAGGCUCCUCUUAGCAAUGACAAUGUCUCAGCUUUGCUUGUUUUGGUAACCAUGAUGGUGUUGAGUCCUGUUAGGGGUUUUGUAGGCUGGUCCCUCAACAGCUGCAUGUUUUUCUCAUGGACUAGAUUGGUUUGUGGGGAGCAAGAGCACAGAGGCAAAGUGCUGAUUUGUUACUUCUUAUCAUGUCUUGACUUGAUGACCUUGACCUUGAACAACUGGCUGAGAGUUGAGUCAGGUUUCCCCACUGUGUAUUUACUUCACCCUCCGCUUCCACACUGUGCUCUUUGAAGUCUGUCUGCCCAGUGGACACCUAAGGAGUGGGGAGUUAGACUCUUCCUUGAGGGCAGACUUAUCUGGGCAUUUUUUAAAAAAAAUUUCUGCAUAGGAGAUUUAUGUUUUUCUCUAAUUCAGUCCUUUAUUCAUAUCAUUAUGAACUCAUGGACAUUAUAUUUUAUACUUUGGGUUAUACUCUAUCUUAUUGAUUUAGUUGCUCAACUUGUUCUGCUCUGGCCAACUCUUUUGGUUAUUGGCUGUGUCUCUUGUGCCACCGGAGACCCUCCUUUCCUUCCUUCCUCUCUUCCUUGUUUUUUGAUGCAAUUCUUCCUUUCUAACACUGCAGGUGCUUCAGAACCCAGGUUUCUGAGUGAUUGCAAAAAAAAAAAAAAAAAAAAAAAAGCCUUCCUGUCAGUCUGUGAAGGACACUUAGUCUUUUGAGAAAACACAAUUCUGUAAGGCCUCUUGAGAUUCCAGAAUUGUUUGUUUCAAAAUUUAAUCUAGACCAGUGGUUCUCAAAAUAUGUUCCCGGGAGCAGCUGCAUCACCUGGGAACAUGUCAUAUAUGCAGAUGAUGUGGUCACCUCAGACUUAGUCCUAUGUAGCUCAGUGGUAGCAUUCUUGCCUACUAUAUGCAAGGCCCUGGGUUCAAUCCCCAACACACAAAAAAUAAGAAUAAAAAAGACGGUAGCUUGGAAUGAAUUGGGGGUUUAUUCUUCUUUUGGGCCUUUCCCCUAUGAGACCAUAAACACCAUCAAGAUAAAGACUAGGCUGUCACCAGUGCCUAGAACAGUGCCGAGACACACAAGGUAUGUCUACAGUGAACAUUUGUGAAAUGAUUGUGUUAUUUUUCAGGCUUUUGUUCAUAUAAUACUUUGGGGUUUCUACCUCAUGUGCAUACCAACUCUACUGUUCUACUACUUUUAAAAAAAAUGGAGAUAAAAGUUAUGUACAAUGAAAUAUGAGGUUCUUAAGGAUAUAUUGUAUUGGGGUUUAAUAGAUGUAAGUAUACCUUAGUAGUUUUCUUUAAAUUGACUCUUUUUGUUGUAUUUAUGACUGCAUUAAUAGAAACCAUGGCUGGUAGUCUUUGAUAUUUAUUUUUCCAAUCAGCACUAAAAAUCAGUGCAUAUUUGUUAAAAUUGACAUAUCAGUCCAAGUGCCACCUAGAACACUCACCUAAACUCUUUUGAGAAACAUUUCAAAGAAAGUGCUUCCCAAGGUGGGUGGAACUUUCUCGAUCACUA